GCCUCAAUAGCUUAGUGGUAGAGCGCUUGAUAUGAUUGCUUCUUGUCAGCCGUCAUAUAUUAUCAACAGGCCAGGGUUCGAAUCCCUGUUGAGGCU
RNAcentral lists this transfer RNA (96 nucleotides) under Lentinula edodes (shiitake mushroom). RNAcentral's name for it is "tRNA-OTHER". It matches the Rfam family "tRNA". Rfam says of the family: Transfer RNA (tRNA) molecules are approximately 80 nucleotides in length. Their secondary structure includes four short double-helical elements and three loops (D, anti-codon, and T loops). The record is from RNAcentral. Lineage: Eukaryota; Fungi; Basidiomycota; Agaricomycetes; Agaricales; Omphalotaceae.